ACAGCCGUUGCACACGAGUCAGUCGAUCCUAAACCCGACGAGAAGUCGGUAUCACUGUAAGGCAGUUAAUGUAAAAAAUGUUUGCCUACUUUGAUAAGGCGAAAGGGAAUCCGGUU
RNAcentral lists this ribosomal RNA (116 nucleotides) under Folsomia cf. candida SB-2016. Its description in RNAcentral is "partial 28S ribosomal RNA". Lineage: Eukaryota; Metazoa; Arthropoda; Collembola; Entomobryomorpha; Isotomidae. The record is from RNAcentral.